GCGGGGGUUACCGAGAGGCCAAAGGUGGCAGACUCAAGAUCUGCUCCCGAAGGGGUUCGCAGGUUCGAAUCCUGCCCCCCGCA
Molecule: transfer RNA, 83 nt
Filed under: Candidatus Methanophagaceae archaeon ex4572_4
Lineage: Archaea; Methanobacteriati; Methanobacteriota; Methanomicrobia; Candidatus Methanophagales; Candidatus Methanophagaceae
Also listed under: 2 other names
Description: ANME-1 cluster archaeon ex4572_4 tRNA-Leu
Rfam family: tRNA
About the family: Transfer RNA (tRNA) molecules are approximately 80 nucleotides in length.
Source: RNAcentral